Long non-coding RNA from Motacilla alba alba, 8297 nucleotides. RefSeq lists it as uncharacterized. The transcript has 5 exons. The record is from RefSeq and is a predicted model, not a curated record. NCBI's taxonomy places the organism in Eukaryota, Metazoa, Chordata, Aves, Passeriformes, Motacillidae.
AGGGGCUGCGGGUCAGCGGGAAGAACAACCGCCGUGCCCAGCGAUUCCCACAGCCAGGGGAGAAGGAGCCUGCACCGACCCCAUUCCUCCGUGCAUUUUUUUUAAAGCCUUUGCCUGGCUCUCCGUUGCCCAGUCAAUCGUGCUUUGCGUUAUCCCAAAGCCUCGAGGAGCUGGGAGAAUGCUGCGGGCCGGUCCCGCCGGAUGCAGCCUGGGAAACCGCAGAGAAUCACGCUUCCCCUCUGCUCCUCCCGUACCAUUUAUCAUUAAAAGGGAAAUUUACUUCUUCCUCUACGACCCGGGCUCAAACUGGCGCUUCCCCUCAUCCCGAGUACAUUCGGUGCUCGAAAAGGGACAUCUCCGGUCGCUGUUUGCCUCAGGACUUCCUUUAUUCCCCUCUCAGCAGGAGGAGAGGUGCAGGGGAGGGAUGUACGGCCAGGCUGGGACAGCUCCUGCCUCUCCUGCUCCCUCCUCGUCCUCCCCCUUCCUAUUCAAUGAGGCCAAGCUGGGAAACGUGUUUGCCACCCACUCCCCAAGUGUCUGUGCUGAGACUUCCCAAGCUCUGGGGCAAACAGGGGCUGCUCCCUCCAGGCCUCCACUGCCCACUGUGCCCCAUCCCAGCAGGAGAUGUUCUCCCGUCCCUUGAGCCUCAGGUCUGCCCCAGCAGCAGGAAUGACUGCUGCCUGUGGGGAGCUGCUCUGCCUCUAUCUCACAGGCAUAACAUUAUCUCUAUUUUUAUAGAAAGGGUGCAUGAACUAGGCUUGGUUAAGGGAUAAAUCCCAGCUAAAUUUAAACUUCCUGUCUUAAGGCUGCUAAAUGUCUUUAAAAAAUGCCACCGAGUGGCUUAUGUAGAAAUAUUUAUUUAUACUUUUUUUUCCUUUAACUUAAAUAUACACACUCAAAAGUGUUCAGGUAUGAACCUGAACUACAUCAGCUAAUUUUUGAAGCUUUGGGCCAUCCAUGAUCCUUUGGCUGCCAUGUCCCUGAACCACCCAGCAGUGCUGGGUACUCCCAGCCCCUAUGGAAAGGGCAGUCAUAGCUCACUGUGCUGCCCCAGCCCUCACAGAGUUUUCUGUCACCAGCUGUAAGUCUGAAGAAAAAAAAUUGCAAAAUUCCUGGCUACAGCCUGGGGAGCCUCAGCCCCUGCAAGCAGGGUCCUCGUGACCCAGCACAGUUGUGAGCACCCCCAGGUCUGGCAGUGACAUGCAGGAACUCCUGUGUUCCUUGUGGUCACCUCUGUGACCUGCCUGCGUUCACAGCUGAGCCCAUGGACCCUUUUUAAUGCACAUACUGCCCUAACAUCUAAAAGGGUUUUUAACUUCCCUGCUCCCCAAAUCCAGGGCAUGCAGCCUGCUCUGACAGCAUCCCAUCUCUGACAGCCUGCUCUGCUUCCCUCACCAGCCCAGACCCCCCUCCCUGCAACAGUCAUAAAGAACUGCUGGAAGGCUCCCACACAGAAAUAAACCAUUUACAAGCUCCCAUGGCCUUGUAUUUAGGGCCAAGGUUAAUGGUGAGGGGAAAAUCUGGGUGCAGAGGAAAAGACUGUUGGAUCCGAAGGUUGGAAGGAGGAAAUUUUGGCUUAAAUGACCCAUGCCAGGCUUAAAAUGCAGCUCAGCAGGGACUGUGCUGUGCCAGGUUUUGGGGCAGCAGGAUAGGUGAAGAUGUUGCCCACAACCUCUUGCUCAGCAUCCCCCCCAUCCCUGAGGCUGCUCUGGCCCUGCCGGGGCACCCUGGGAUUUUGUGGGUGACCUCAAGAGAUUCAGUUACUCUCAUCCAUUCGAGGGUGAGCUGCCAAAACCAUGGCUUCAGCUGGGAUUGAAGCACCUGCAGCCAGCCUGAGCCACCCUCACCUCCCUGCCUUGCUCUGCCAGAGCGGGGCUUGUAGAAUCUGAGGCAAAACUCCACUGGAGGAUGAGAAUUUUGGAUGUGGAACGGAAAUCAAGCCCAGCAUUUGUGUGCAGCCUUCAACCUACAGCAAUAUCCACCGCACCCUACAGACUCCACUUGGGUAAUUUCAUGGGAACAGAGAAUUGAAGGCAAACUCACCCCAAACCCAAGCCCUACCACACCCAGGCCUGUGCUCUGGUGGUGUCACUGCCACAGUUCCUCUUCCACCCCUCCAGCUGAACCCAUCCCCACCACGGCUGGUGCCUCGCUCGCAGCAGGCUGCUGUGGGCUGGGCUCAGCUCCAUCGCCCCAGGGACACCUGCAGGCUCUGCAGAGGAGUGACAAAAUGACAAAUCCAGGUCGUGGAUGUUGCUGGUGCAGGAUGAGGUUGGGUAUUUAUAUAUUUAUACCCACCAGGUAUGGCAUUUACUUAUUUAUCUCUAGGGUUUGCUUGAGAUCUCAGGGCAGAACGUCAGACUUGCCUGUGGUGCACGGGUGUGUGUGCUGGGGAUCUUGGCUUGGCUGGGCUGUGCAGAGGGGAAGCCAGGACAGAUGAAGGAGUUAAAUAUGGAAACAAGAGCCAGAAAUACAGCAGUAACUGGACAAAAUCCUUUGGAGACAAAUUGUUCUAAACUAACUCAGGCUAUGAUACUGUUAUCUGCUCUGCAAGAAAGAGCAGGGUUAUCUCUUUUUUUUCCCCCCCUCCUCCUUCUUGUCCUAGGAAGCUAAAAAGAAGAGCCCAAAGCCCACUGCAAGGUUCUUCAGGACUGUGUGUCCUUGAACCAUUAGCUCGUAGGUACAAUUUAACUGCCACAUCACUCAUCUUGGCCCUGAUUAGACCCAGAUGAACACUUUCAAUAUUAAUAGUCAGAUGAUUUAAUAAAGCUGCACAAGCAGUAAAAGUAACAAUACACUUCCAUAAACGGGUUCCAGAUGUUGCCAAGGCAAAUGCUAAACAUCAAAAUACAAACUUCAAAAAAAAAAAAAGUUAGAAAAAAAAAAAAAGCUGGAUAAGCAAAACUUGGAACAAACUAUAAACUAAUUAAAUGUGGGUUGAGUUUUCCAAAAAUAAAUUGAAGCCAUAAGGAUGUGAUGUGAGCCAAUAAAUAGUACAGUUAGUCAAAGUUACUGUGGAAUGACAGUUGGAAAGAGGGUUUGAAGUCAUUGAUAGGUGGGCUCAGCAAGCUUGGCUUCCCAUCAAUAGGAAGGCUUGUUCUCCUGUGCACGAGAGCAGGAUCAAAUCUCCUGGUAUCUAUAACUGGGACCCCAGAGAGGUUACUGAGAGAAUAUGAGAUGAUUUUCUAGUCAGGGAAUAAUGGAAAAAUGAUGCCAGGAGUGCCUGUGUCUCUCUUGCAAUAGCAGCAGGGGUGAUACCACCACCCAAGGACACCGGGAUAUUUUUCCCUGCAUGUUGGGGCAGCCUUCCAGGCUCUCAUUGCCCACAGGGCGUCCACAACCUCUGCUUGGCCACCUGCAAAGCCCGUGGAAACACCACUGCUGUAGUCACAAACCCACCCUCUUCCCCAUACAGGAGCCAUUGAAAACAGCUCUCUGAGAGAAUUCCACCCCAGCCCCAUCACUGCUGUCACAGAAGCAGCCACCCACAGCAGAUGAGCUUUCUGCCAGCAGGACUGCACCUGUAAGAACAGAGAGGGGGAUUUUGUGAGCCACCAUCCACCCCUGCAGCCCCAGAGAGCAGGAGAGGUGGAGCAGACCAAAUUGAGCCAGAAAAUCUUAAUAUCCCAGUUUUUCCCUCUGCAAGGCACAAGCCACUGGCUCUCCCAGGAAAUCCAUCAGUGCUGCAUCCCGAUCAGGGGACCAACCCAGGCUCCACCCUCAGGUAUGUGGUCCCACAUGGUCCUGCAUUAUAAAUACUGCAUCUGGCAGAGUACAGUAUGGAGCAAGGAAUGAGCCAGAAAUGUUUCCUGGUGCAUAAAAAAGGACUGAUUUUGAUUGUGUUAGACACCAGUUCUUCCAGUGCCAGGAAGACAUGCAGUAUGCAUUUCUGGUUUGCUUGGACCUUCUUCAAACAGGCUGGUAACUGACUUAUUCUACCACUUAUUUUUCCUUUGUGAAAAUAUCCCUUUAAAUUCAGUGUUUAGCAAAUACUGCUUAGUCCCAUUACAAAGUAAAUUGGGUAUGGAUCAUAACAGCAGGCUUCUCCAGUCUCUUUCAGAUGCUUAAAUUACAUCAUGAUCUAACUUCACCCAGGGGAGGGACAAGCUCUACAGAUUGCUGUCCGUCCUUCUGCUUUGGUAAUCUCCGGUAUUUCUCGGGUGCCUUUCACAAGUUUUCUGUGUAUCAGCACAAUGACUCUGCCUUUGGGGCGUGGGGGUGUUUUGUACUGAGGUACCCCAGCAUCCAGCAGCACCCAGGCAGUGCCAGGGGCCAGCGAGGAGAUGCCUGGCGCUCGGCAGGGAGAAUUUGGCCAGAGCAGCUUCUCUUUGAUUUUGGUCAGCUGAUGUCUGGGUGAGGACAUGGGGCUGUGCCUGCCCUCGGAGCCACUUGUCUCCUCCAUCCACUCUGACCAGAUCUUGAGUUUCUUUCGCAGAUUUCACUUUCUGUCUCCCAGAGCUGCUCCAGCCCUUUGUGUCCCUGGGGGUGGGAUGCCGGCUCCGCUCGGUGUCCAGCGCUGGGGGCUGGCAGGGGCAGCCUGUGCCGCUGGGCCAGCGGGGAUGCCGGUGGCGGGGGGGGCUGCAGGGGCAAUUGUUUGCCACAUUGUGCUCUCGCUUGUGUUUAAAAACAACAACAGCUCAACUGACUCAUAGGUCCUACGGCCUCUGAGUCAUUUUUUAUUUCUGGAUUUCACUGCUCUGCCCUUUGCAAUGAAGGGAGUUGCAUGCUCACACACACACACACACACACGCACACACACACACACAUCAAGUUCACAUUUGUUUUUCCCCUAUAAAAACAAAACGAUUUCCAUACCAUUAGCGAAACAGAAAUGAUUUGACUUCGCGUACCCUGGCUUUUAUUUUCCAUUGUAUAAACUCUGCAGAUGAAAUAAUGAUGGUUGUAAAGUAAACCUCUCUUUUUUUUUUUUUUUUUUUUUUCCUUUCCCUUUCCAGGCAGCCUCUUUUCGAAAUAGCAAUAGGGAGUCACAGACUUGGCUUGUGCUGCGCCUGUAGUAAUUAACCCCUUCAUCCCUGGCUUUUCCUCUGUUGGAAGUUAGCCACGGCGUGGGUGAAGGCAUCAGCAGGUCUCCUCUGGGACUAGAAGCAAAGCGGGGGAGCAGAGCAGGGAGGGAAAUGUGGGAAAGGAGGCCAAGAGCCGCUCCAGGCAGAGCAGUGGUGUGUGCCUGGAGCUAUACACUCGUGGGCUGGACAGCUUUCCUGGGAGAGCCAGAGUGCUGGCACUGCAGGGCCAGAGGUAGCUUCAGUCUUCCUACACCCCCCACUUUUUUUUGGGUUUAAAUCAGCCCUACCAUUUUGUGUUUAGCCUGGCAGCCCCAUCCUGGGUCACUUCCCUUCCUCCCCACUCCCCAGGGAUCACCAGUGAAACGUUCUCUCUCCACACGCCACUGCAGAAAUAACCUAUGGUAAAUAAUUAAUCACCUAAUCUUGCUCUUUUUGUUUACAGGGCUGUUGUGAUUUCACCAAGCACUCGUAAGGAGGAGUGUUACUGGGGUGAGGUAACACCUGACACAGCAGCAGAGCCAGCUGGAGCUGGGUGUGCGAGCAUGCCCCUGUCCCGCAGGACGGGCUGAGCUGCCCUCCCCACGAGGCUGUGAGCUCUCCUUCCUCAUAGACCCUCACCAUCACGUACAAUCUGUCUGUCUUCAAGGCCUCCACACGUGCCACAAACAUUUUUCCUAAUCACAUUUAUCGUGCAACAGCACAACCCUGCAUCCCCCCAGCACCGGGUCAGAUGCUUCACUGAUGCCUGGCCCGGGCGGGUUGGUGACACUGACUGAGUUACUGUUCCUCUUCCCAGACUGGGUGAUGUGUUUUAUAUUAUUUCUCUUGGAUUUAUUAAGCAUUAUGUAACUGGCUAACCAAUCCCGCAUGCGAUGCAAUCGUGGCUGAUUUCAUGUCAGUGGAAAGUAAACAAAAAAAUUGCUCUGAAGUGGCUAAGCUGAAAUUCAUUUCCACAUGCAGAGCAAUUCCUGAAGGAUCCUUCCCAUCUCCUCGUGGUUAAUUUGCAUCCAAGCUCUCAUGCAACCCAUUUGAAAAGAGUUAUGGAAAAAUUGCACAUAGAACAUGACAGUGUGUUACGAGGAAAAAUUAUAAUGAUGAAGUUUAUUUUACUUAAAUAUUUUUAAGUAAGUUUGUUGAUUUCUCCUGUGCCUUGAAAUGUGUGACACUUGCCUAUUUUUUGUCUUUCAGCUGAGGAACUCAAAAUGUGAAAGUUGCUCCCCAAAGAAAGUUUGGCAUUAAAGUCUGAAAAGCCAGGCAAGCCAACCCUGCAGUCCUGAGGUCCCGAAGCCCAGCAGGACCCAGCCCAACAUGACAAGGAAGAUGUUCUGCCCUUGCUGAGCUUUGGAAGGACUGUAAAUGUCAGGCUCUGCAUGAAUCCUGGAUUUCCGAGAAUAGAUGGAAUUGAAAUUGAAGGAUACCAUCCAAAUAGUAUCCUGCCUCUGGACACCUCCUGAGACAUGCCACAAUCUGAAUAUGCUGAACAGUGCUUCUGCCCAAGAGCUACCUCCCAAGCCACAGCCUGUUGCAGAGCUGACAGCCCAGGCAAGGGUGAAAGGAAGGCUCAGAUGUGAUGAUGCUGUUCUACAAACAGGGAUCCUAAGCAAGCAGCAUUUUCUGCUGCAUCCAUCACACACCAAGGACAUCACAUGCAGACAGAUGCCAGGCUCUUCAGUGGGGAUCAGCCUUUGAAGACCAACAGUACAACCUGGCAUCACUUCAGCUGCCGGAUGCCUCUGGAGCACGAAUACCUUCAGCUCUGGAGGAAUUACUCUGUAGAGGGAAAUAGGAGCAGUUUGACAGCCUGACUCAUGAUCUUUGUAUUAUUAUUACUGGUAGUGAAACUAUGAUAGGAUCCAGGAGCCUGAACCAUGGAUCAGGAAUGUGCUUUUGAAGAGAAACUCCGGGGCUUCCUGCUUUGGCUUGUGUUACAAGGCAGUCUUAAGGCAGGCACACAUGGGGGUUUUUUCAAUAAGCAGCCAAACUGGAAGUUGUGAAGGGUGGCCAGUCCCUGGGGGUGGGCUAGAGGCACCCUAAAAGUUAUCAGCUAAAAUAUGUGUGGUGUGGAUGGUGGGUUCUCAGCUCCAGGGUGUUGCUCCAUUAAUCCAUUCUGUCCUGAAGCUCCCUGCUUUGGAGCACCGGCACAGCCAGAUCCUGCACAGGAUACACAGUCAGCAGGAAUAUUGGCUGGUUUACUCUCUCUUCCUGAGGUUACUGAAAGGCUGAAGGUGUUGCAGGAUAGAUGCAAAGCAGAGCCACUGCUUUAGGUGUUUUCAUUCUGGUUCUCAGUAGCAUGAUGGUUGUCGUUAGUAGUUUUAUUAUCUUUUAAAUCUAAUUAUUUCUAAGAAAUUGAAAGAUGAGGAACUCAAAAUGAAGAUAGUGAUAAAUAAUGUUUUGACAAAGGGGAAAAUAUCUGAAAUAUUUCUCAGUAAUAUGGCUUUUUUUGGAGGUGUGUUAUUUGCUAGAGCAACACAGACUGUCGAAAAAUCCAAUCAGAGCAUAUAAAAGAAAAGUUUAUGAGGUAAUAUAGCUUUCUUCCAUCAAAAAGCAGUUUAUUCAGUAUAACAGUAGGAUUAAAACAAAUGGAUUUACAGAAUAGAAAAGAUGGAGUUCCCUGCUUUCCAGAGGCUGUAAUGGGAGUCAGUGCAACUUCAGAGACAGAAGGGACUUGUAGGUAGGAAGUUGAGUAGAGUUUGCCUUAAGUUGAAGAACAAGGGACCUGCUGCCAAGUGAAGAUGCUGAAGAGCAGGAGAGUGUCCUGGUUAGACUGACCUGCAGGAGGUUGGACUCACAUCCUGGAAAGAGGGGAUCCAGGGAGACCCUGGGUGCAUGAGUAGUUGUGCCUAGUUAGGGGGGAAGCACUACAGCUUAUUUUGACCAAAGUAGCACAAGUCCUGGAAGUUCUCCUGGGAGCAGCAUUGUGCUGUGAGAAAAUACUGGUAUCCCACUUUGCAGGCUGAGGUAGGGAAACACGGCUCAGGAAGAGGACUUUGAUGUUUAUGGAAGAUCUCUCCAUUGCACAUUGUUUUUUUCAAGACAUCUCAGUCUCCUCUGAACUCUCCAAGCUGGAAUGUACGUGAGGGCUACCCAGGCUCCCAGUCAUCCUGAUUUAGGCACUUCUACCACUACCCUCAUCCUGUAUAUGCAAUGUUUUAACUCUUCUCCACAUCUUUUAGUGUAUGAAGAAAAUUCAAAGGAGCAAAUAGUUUUUGAAAUUGUAGAAUGUAAGACCUACAAUAUAUUACUGUACUUUAUUGAUGAUGUUUUCUCCAUAAU